RNAcentral lists this transfer RNA (74 nucleotides) under Sphaerodactylus townsendi. RNAcentral's name for it is "tRNA-Gly". Lineage: Eukaryota; Metazoa; Chordata; Lepidosauria; Squamata; Sphaerodactylidae. The record is from RNAcentral.
AGGAGCUGUGGUUCAGUGGAAAAGCCAUUUACCUGCCAUGCAGAAGGUUCCAGGUUCAAUCUCUGGCAUUCCCG